AUUGAACGCUGGCGGCAUGCCUUACACAUGCAAGUCGAACGGUAACAGGUUAAGCUGCCGAGUGGCGAACGGGUGAGUAAUGUAUCGGAACGUGCCCAGUCGUGGGGGAUAACUGCUCGAAAGAGCAGCUAAUACCGCAUACGACCUGAGGGUGAAAGCGGGGGAUCGCAAGACCUCGCGCGAUUGGAGCGGCCGAUAUCAGAUUAGGUAGUUGGUGAGGUAAAGGCUCACCAAGCCGACGAUCUGUAGCUGGUCUGAGAGGACGACCAGCCACACUGGGACUGACACACGGCCCAGACUCCUACGGGAGGCAGCAGUGGGGAAUUUUGGACAAUGGGCGCAAGCCUGAUCCAGCCAUGCCGCGUGCGGGAAGAAGGCCUUCGGGUUGUAAACCGCUUUUGUCAGGGAAGAAAAGGUUCUGGCUAAUACCUGGGACUCAUGACGGUACCUGAAGAAUAAGCACCGGCUAACUACGUG
RNAcentral lists this ribosomal RNA (477 nucleotides) under uncultured bacterium. Its description in RNAcentral is "partial 16S ribosomal RNA". It matches the Rfam family "Bacterial small subunit ribosomal RNA", at positions 30 to 507 of the family's 1533-position model. The record is from RNAcentral.